GACGAACGCUGGCGGCGUGCUUAACACAUGCAAGUCGAACGGAAAGGCCCUGCUUUUGUGGGGUUCUCGAGUGGCGAACGGGUGAGUAACACGUGAGUAACCUGCCCUUGACUUUCGGAUAACUUCAGGUAACUGGGGCUACUACCGUAUAGGAUCUCCUGCUGCAUUGUGGGGGUUGGAUCGUUUCGGCGGGUGGGGAUGGACUGGCGGCUUAUGAGCUUGUUGGUUGGGUAGUGGCUUACCAAGGCUUUGACGGGUAGGCGGCCUGAGAGGGUGACCGGCGACAUGGGGACUGAGAGACGGCGCAGACUCGUACGGGAGGCAGCAGGGGGGAAUAUUGCACAAUGGGAGGAAGCCUGAGGCAGCAACGCCGCGUGCGGGAUGACGGCCUGCGGGGUGUAAACCGCUUUCGCCUGUGACGAAGCGUGAGUGACGGUAAUGGGUAAAGAAGCACCGGCUAACUACGUG
RNAcentral lists this ribosomal RNA (468 nucleotides) under uncultured bacterium. RNAcentral describes it as "partial 16S ribosomal RNA". It matches the Rfam family "Bacterial small subunit ribosomal RNA", at positions 28 to 507 of the family's 1533-position model. The record is from RNAcentral.